This is a non-coding RNA of Zea mays, 137 nucleotides long. NCBI's taxonomy places the organism in Eukaryota, Viridiplantae, Streptophyta, Magnoliopsida, Poales, Poaceae. The record is from Rfam.
GUUGCUUCUUUACCUAAUAAAGAGUGACCGUGCAGUCUGGUCAUUUGUCAAGAGGAAGCAUAUAAGCGAAUUGGCCAGUAUUAAACAGCAUUGUGCAUUUUCCCGUUGUGCAGUGUUACCUGUCUCCUGGCACAUGU